RNAcentral lists this long non-coding RNA (415 nucleotides) under Mytilus galloprovincialis (Mediterranean mussel). The record is from RNAcentral. Lineage: Eukaryota; Metazoa; Mollusca; Bivalvia; Mytilida; Mytilidae.
AGCAGUUUUACUUCCAACCGAAAAAUAUUCAUCUUACAGAAAAAUAUUUGUUCCACUAAAACUUUGUUCUCCACAAUAUUUAUAACUUCAAUUAACAAUCAAAAUUACACCUUGUUUUCAUAACUAUACAACUUUCAAACAUGUAAACUUACAAUAACAUAACAGAAUAUCAAUUUAAGGCAUGAAUAAUAAAGUCACAUGGAUUAAAAUGUAUAAAAAAUAAAAAUUUAAGACACUGAAAAGCAAAUCAAGAUUGCAUUUGAUUUUAUCUAGUGCAUUAUCCAAAUAUUUUAUAUGAACAAGAUCUUUCCAAUAUUUUAAAAAUCUGGUUUUAAACCUUUAAAUUAUAUAAAUAAACUGACAUAUCACAAUUAAAAAUAAAUUAAUAAAAUGCUGAAUUAAACAAGAUAUUCAA